Molecule: ribosomal RNA, 460 nt
Filed under: uncultured bacterium
Lineage: Bacteria
Description: partial 16S ribosomal RNA
Rfam family: Bacterial small subunit ribosomal RNA
Source: RNAcentral
CCUACGGGAGGCAGCAGUGAGGAAUAUUGGUCAAUGGGCGCGAGCCUGAACCAGCCAAGUCGCGUGAGGGAGGACGGCCCUACGGGUUGUAAACCUCUUUUGCCGGGGAGCAACGUGCGCCACGUGUGGCGUCACAGAGAGUACCCGGAGACAAAGCAUCGGCUAACUCAGUGCCAGCAGCCGCGGUAAUACGGAGGAUGCGAGCGUGAGCCGGAUGUAUUGGGGUUAAAGGGUGCGUAGGCGGAUCGUUAAGUCAGUGGUCAAAUUGAGGGGCUCAACCCCUUCCCGCCAUUGAAACUGGCGUUCUUGAGUGGAAGAGAGGUCUGCGGAAUGCGUGUUGUAGCGGUGAAAUGCAUAGAUAUCACGCAGAACCCCGAUUGCGAAGGCAGCAUGCCGGCUUCCGACUGACGCUGAAGCACGAAAGCGUGGGGAUCGAACAGGAUUAGAUACCCGAGUAGUC